Molecule: long non-coding RNA, 3126 nt
Organism: Cervus elaphus (red deer)
Lineage: Eukaryota; Metazoa; Chordata; Mammalia; Artiodactyla; Cervidae
Exons: 5
Source: RefSeq, a predicted model, not a curated record
UAAACUCGGGCCCUGGGCCCCCUCACUGACCCCUCACUAGCAGGGGUCAUGGCCAAACCCCGGGUUUCCUGGUUCUCGUGAACCAGCUGCCUGGCCGGCUGCCGGCUCUUCUGAGUCAGCCCAGGACAAUCACUCACCCCUCCAGACCCAGGAAGCCGGAGCAGAGAACCCAGCGCCGGCGCCUGCCAGCAGAGGAGGAGUUACUGGAGUUCAAGUUCUUGAAAUGAUGCCUGCUUUGUAAGGAACGCAGGGUGGUCGGAUGGCAUCACUGACUCGAUGGCCGGGAGCCUGAGCAAGCUCCGGGAGGUGGGGAUGGACAGGGAGGCCUGGCAUGCUACGGUCCCGGGGUUGCAGAGAGUCGGACACGACUGAGCGGCUGAGCUGACCCGCGAGGCCAGGCCAGCAGGGGUGGUGGCGUUGACAGCAGGGAGAGCGGGGAGAGUCACAGAGGUGGCGGCAGGGGCGGAGCGGCAGGGGCGGAGCGGCAGCUGAGACGCCAGCACAGUGGUCGUCGCGGCGGAGACGUUCUGGCGCUAACGGCACCGGUCGGGGCGGUGAUGGUGGGAGCGCUGGUCUCGGCAGGAGGACUCACUAGAGAUGCUCAGCUGCAGGUAACAACAACUCCCGGUGAAGCUCUCCGUCUCAGAGGACACGGCCGUGCGUCCCGGCCAGCUCUGAUGCUGGAGGGCAGCGUGCCGGGCCGUGGGCGAGGGGAGGAGGGAUGGCCCGUGCCCUGCCCUCCCUGUGGUCCGCGUGGCCCUAUAACGGUUCCAGCAGCUGAACCAGCGGAUGCGGCCGUCCCACAGUCUCGAGGACUGAAGGCUGAGUCCAGGCGAGGCAGGCGGGGUCCCCGAGGCCUCUCUCCUGGGCAUGCAGACGGCCGUCUGCUGCUCGUGUCCUCACUGGAUUGUCUCUCUGUGUGUAUCUGUGUCCAGAUCUCCACCUUAUAAGGACACCCCAGUGCAUUACGGCCCAUCCUAAUGACCUCAUUUUACCUUACUUACUUCUUCAAGGCCUCGACUCUAAAUGCAGUCAAGGCUCUGAAGAUGCCAAGCUGUGGGUUCCAGGGUUCAGGCUUCCAUCUGUAGCAUCGUCUUCAUCAGCCCCAGGUAGGGAACAGCCAGUGGGGUCAGCAUCCUCUGAGAUCGGGGAUGGGGAGGGGUAGGUACUUGAAUAAAACCAAGGUUAUCUGAGGAAGGAAAAGAGGAUAAUGAUGACUGUGUAGCCAAAAGUGUUGAUCUCUCUGGUUUUCACUGUUUCCCCCUUAAUUCUGGGGCUUUAAAACCAGAGUGCCUGCACGUCAGCGCACAGGCCUGGCCACCGCCCCCUGGAGAGAGGGUAGCGCUGAGGCUGAACCCUGGUGGGAAUCCCCGUUCCACUUGCCCCCCCAGGAUGUGCACAUUCCAGCAGGACACUGAGGCUUUCUUCCGGAGCCGUGAGCCCAGGGAAGUGGGCAGAGGGCCUGUUUCCCCAGCCUUGUCCCCCAGAGGACUGACAGCCUCUGUCUAACUCUGAAGCUCACAACACAUCCAUCCGCUCCAACCCAAGGCCCAUGAAGGGGAAUCUGUCUUCUGCAACCUGGCACAUGGCUUUGCAGACACUGCCAAGACGUCCAGACCCUGGAGGAACCGUGGGCCAGAAGCACAUUUCGGCUGCCAAGUGCUGGGGGGGUGGUAAUGGGGACCAACCAAGGCCUACAGACCAACCAAAGAUGCCCAUGUGGGGGUCAGCGGGACACAGGAAAUGCAAUCGGAGAAAGCAGAUGAUGUGUGACCUUCCUUAAAUUCUAUCACAAACGUUCCCGUGUCCAUAAAGCCCUUGCAGGAGUCUUGGAGAAAAGAUACUUGCCAAGUGAAUCCACCUUUAGAGGAUCUGGGGCUUCUUCACAGACACAUUCAAAUAUUGACACAUGGAGGACGAGAAACCACGGCCCCUGGGGCUCUCUCCUCCUGAGUCACCACGUCCAAUGAGGCUGAAGACUCAGGAAAGCAUGCAGACCAGGCUCGGAGAUCCAGGACGGGGGUGCAGAGGCCCUUGUGGAACGGUAAAGAUCCGGCCUGCAGUGUGGGAGAGCAGCAGGGCUGGGCUGGGCAGACCCCCUGGAGCAGGAAACGGCAACCCCCUCCAGUGUUCUGGCCUGGAGAAUUCCAUGGGCAGUGUUAACUGAUUUUUGGCAACCUCGCAUUCCUGGGAUAAGCUGAUUUUUAACUGCGGGUUAGAUCAUCUUUACAGAAGAUUGUUUUCGCUUUCAUCUGUUUUAUCCAGUGCUAAUACCAGCAUGUGCUGUUGAAUCUAACAUUCCUUUAAUGUUACAGUAAGCAUCGCAAACAAGACUUAUGAAGAAAGAGAAGGCCGGUCAGCUGGACCCAGGGAGACAAGUGGAUAAAAUGAGAGAGCGGUGGUCAUCCCGAAUUUGGCAACGGAAGGAUUAGACUGAGACACAAUAUUUGUCAAAAUGUAAAGUAUUUUGCAAAUGAAAUUUGUAAAGGUUGCAUCAAGUUAGAGAAUAUGUUUCUAGGAAAAAAUACAAGUGUCAUGGAUAUAUAAUUAAUUCUGACAAAUUAUCUUUAAUUUAGUUGAAGUUUCGACCAUGUCAGUAACAAUGUCUCAAACAACCUGUUUCAAGUGUUAUUUUCUCCAGGGUGGAUAAUAUAAAAUGCUUUGCAGAGGUUCAUCUGACCAUCCAGUCUUAGAAACAUCUCAAUAUCAGGGUGCCGUGUCCCCUGCAAAAGAAGGGAAGAUUUUGCAACCAAGUGGGAGGUGGGUUGGAAAGGAAAGACCAGGCUUUGUUAGUCCUACCCCAUGGGGGCAACUGAAGAGCUACUGGGAUUUGUGAAACUGUGAUUUAUAAAGCCAGCUGCUUGAUGGCACGCACCCCCUCCAGGAAAAUCGCAUGUAACGCUGAACCCCUCCCCGCCGCCACUUUGGAAGAGCUCCUCCGAGUUAGCUGAGAUGCUGUCUUCCAGGCUAUAUACGCCUCAUUUUGCCCCAAAUAAAACUUAAAUCUCACCUCUCACAUUGUGCAUUGAUUUUAGCCGACAAUAAUAUGGCUUCCCCUGGUGGCUCAGAUGGUACAGAACUGCCUGCAUUCAGGAGACCCAGCUUCAAUCCCUGGGUCAGGAAGGU